UUUGGCCUACGGGACGCAGCAGUGAGGAAUAUUGGUCAAUGGCCGCAGGGCUGAACCAGCCAAGUCGCGUGAGGGAUGACGGUCCUAUGGAUUGUAAACCUCUUUUGUCAGGGAGCAAAGGGCGCCACGAGUGGCGUUUUGCGAGUACCUGAAGAAAAAGCAUCGGCUAACUCCGUGCCAGCAGCCGCGGUAAUACGGAGGAUGCGAGCGUUAUCCGGAUUUAUUGGGUUUAAAGGGUGCGCAGGCGGAAUGUCAAGUCAGCGGAAAAAUUUCGGGGCUCAACCCCGUCGGGCCGUUGAAACUGG
This 305-nucleotide ribosomal RNA is filed under the name uncultured bacterium. RNAcentral's name for it is "bacterial SSU rRNA". It matches the Rfam family "Bacterial small subunit ribosomal RNA", at positions 333 to 636 of the family's 1533-position model. The record is from RNAcentral.